UACGUAGGGUGCGAGCGUUAAUCGGAAUUACUGGGCGUAAAGCGUGCGCAGGCGGUUUCGCAAGUCAGAUGUGAAAGCCCCGGGCUCAACCUGGGAAUUGCAUUUGAAACUACGAGGCUAGAGUGUGUCAGAGGGGGGUAGAAUUCCCGGUGUAGCAGUGAAAUGCGUAGAGAUCGGGAGGAACAUCCGUGGCGAAGGCGACUACCUGGACCAGCACUGACACUGAGGCACGAAAGCGUGGGGAGCAAACAGG
RNAcentral lists this ribosomal RNA (253 nucleotides) under uncultured bacterium. RNAcentral's name for it is "partial 16S ribosomal RNA". It matches the Rfam family "Bacterial small subunit ribosomal RNA", at positions 524 to 776 of the family's 1533-position model. The record is from RNAcentral.